Molecule: ribosomal RNA, 494 nt
Filed under: uncultured bacterium
Lineage: Bacteria
Description: partial 16S ribosomal RNA
Rfam family: Bacterial small subunit ribosomal RNA
Source: RNAcentral
GACGAACGCUGGCGGCGUGCUUAACACAUGCAAGUCGAACGGUGAAGCGCCUUCCUUUUUGGUGGGUGUGGAUGAGUGGCGAACGGGUGAGUAACACGUGAGUAACCUGCCCCCUUCUUCUGGAUAACCGCAUGAAAGUGUGGCUAAUACGGGAUAUUCUGGGUCUGUCGCAUGAUGGGUCUGGGAAAGAUAUUGUUUCGGUGGGGGAUGGGCUCGCGGCCUAUCAGCUUGUUGGUGGGGUGAUGGCCUACCAAGGCGGUGACGGGUAGCCGGCCUGAGAGGGUGGACGGUCACACUGGGACUGAGACACGGCGCAGACUCCUACGGGAGGCAGCAGUGGGGAAUAUUGUACAAUGGGCGCAAGCCUGAUGCAGCGACGCCGCGUGAGGGAUGGAGGCCUUCGGGUUGUGAACCUCUUUCGCCAGUGAAGCAGGCCUGCCUCGUUUGUGGGUGGGUUGACGGUAGCUGGAUAAGAAGCGCCGGCUAACUACGUG